ACCGAGACACCAAGAGUCACAGACACCGGGACACCGAGAGUCACAGACACCGGGACACCGAGACACCGAGAGUCACAGACACCGGGACACCGAGACACCGAGAGUCACAGACACCGGGACACCGAGACACCGAGAGUCACAGACACCGGGACACCGAGACACCGGGAGUCACAGAUCCCGGGACACCGAGGCUCACAGUGAGCGGGGGCAGGCGUUCCCCCUGCACUGCCGAGGCCACAGUAACCCGUGUCCCCGGUAGCUGCCCAGGGCUCCUGAGCUCCCCAGCGGUGACUGCAGCGCUGCCCCGGCUGGCCCGUGCCGCGGCCGGACAGCUCUUUGGGUGAAGAAGUUUUUCCUAAAGCCCAAUCCAGCAUUCCCUGGCACAGCUCGAGGCCGUUUCCUUUCGUGCUGGCCCUUGGCGGCCGCGGGAGCAGAGCGGUCCCGCUGUGGAGCGCAGGGCACGGCGGCUCCGGGGACAGAGCGGCUGAGGGGGCCGAGCUGGGAAGGGCCGGCUGUGGGACAGGCCCGGAGAGCGGGAAGGGACCGCGGCCUCUAUGGCAUGGCAGGCGGGGGGAGGAGAGAGAGGUGGAUAAUGAGGGGCUGGCAGAGGGAACAGGAGCACUCCGCAGCUGGGGCAGGGAGACGAGGCUGCCAGGGAGGAGGGAGCAGAGGAAUGAUGUGGUCUAAGCCAUUGACCAGCACAACAAUUUUUGCAGCAGCCCUCUGGAUACAAACCAGGAGAUCAAGGAACGCUCUGGAAGGUGUGGACGUUGUUGGGCAGUAGGAAUCCAUGAAAAGAUGAUGAUGAACCCUCAAAUCAUGAAGAGACAGGCUGGACGACGCCAGUUUUACCUCCAAACCAAUUUCCUGACAAUCAUCUCUUCCCUGGCAGCCCUGCUCGUCUCCAGGGCUUCUGUGGGUCCAUGUCUCCUCAGCGUCUCCCUGGAAUUGGCUUUGUUGCCACCUCCAUCUGGACGUUCCUUAUGCCCAAUGAAGAGGAAUUUCCAAAACUGAGAAGGGUCCUGAAGAUGUCCAGGAAAAAAAAAAAAAUAAAAAUCCCAGCUAUGUGAUGUCUCUAGGGCUGCGUUUGUACAUUCAGCACGUUAUGAAAAGCAGCUCUUUGGGCUGGUUCAUUGACUGGCAGGAAUUAGAGAGCUAAGUCACUGCAGGGCUGGCAAUUAGCUGCUGCACGAGUGUUUUUGUAGAGUCAAAUUUCCAGCGAGGGGAAGAGAAAAGCGUUUGUAAAGCAAGCCACCCCUCGGUGCAGGAGCCGGGCAGGGGGAGCUGCAGCUCCUGCACUCCUGAGCAAAGAGAAGAAUUGUUCCUCAAACAAACACCGGUGAGGGGCAACACUCCCAAAUCCUUCCUCCCGCAGUGCUGGGGAGUUCUCUUGCCCCGGGAGCUGUGCAGUGCUGCUUUCAGCUGGAGCAGCAGCAUUUUCCAUCCAGCCUUUCCCUGCCUGUCUUUUCCCACUGACUGGUGGAGCAGCUGGAAGAGCAGAGGAAUGUCACUGGAAAGCCCCUGCCCCAGCAGCACCUGCACUUCUUCCUUUCCCAGGUCUCUCCUUACACAGUUCAAGUGUUGGGGCUUGCCUACACUUGAAGGUUGACUCUGGCUUUAGGGACAAAUAAAUCUGAAAGACAAGAACGAAUUCUUGAAUAUCUCUGGGAGGAUUUACUCAAAAUCAGUAAUUUCUGAAUAACUUGGUGCCCUGGCUGGCCAGUUCAUCCUCCAGGAACUUACAACCUCCCCCUCCAGAGUCUGCCUCGCUGAAAUCCUCACGUUGUCACAGCUGAAAUGUGGCUACAAAGAGCUGCAGGAAUUCCCCAAGGUUGUUUCACAGCCAAAAUACAGUGCCUGGAACAAAAGGAGUGUGCUGCAGGAGUCGGAGAGGAGCAAUGGGAGGAAGAGAAGCCCCCAGUGUGUGACUGGAGGAGCUGCAGAUGGCCAGACGUGACUGCGAGGGAAGGGAGGCAGCGCUCAGAGCAACGUUUCAGCUUUCAAGUCCCGUGCUCCAGGAUCUACAUGCCAUUUCUUGGAUGUGGUUUGCCCCGAGGGCAAUCUCAACAGCUGUGAAGUUUCAACAGAUGAACAAUGUAGUUUUCAAUAAAUUUCACCAAGCAAAGGAAAGGAUUUUAACUCGUUCAUGCUAACCCACUUUUGGUCUGAAGGCUCUCCUGGACCCCAAUCCAUGCAAGCCAUGAGUGUUUCCUGUUUGAGCCCCAGGCACACCUGAGCUACACUCAGAGGUUUUUCCCCCUCAGAAGAGGCUUCUCUCAGCCAUGCCCGUGGGUUCUGGGAGGUGCAGGAACACCCCUGCCUUUACCUGUGCCACUUGAACCCGCUCUGGUGGAGGAAGGUGCCAAAUGUGGAUGCCCUCAGCUCCUGGUGGGGAAAAGAGAGGAGGUAGAAAGACAAUCUUUCAAAUCUCCUUGUGGCUACUGCAUCUUGGAAGUUCCAUUUCCUUUGUAGUCACACAUCCAGAAGUGGGGCUUUGCUCUUGGAGUCAUGUUCUCAUCCCAGCUGAAGGCUGAUGCCAUUAAUUGGAACUGAAAGAGGGGCUUUUGUGUCCCUGAAUUCUGCAGUCAGAGAAGUCAAGAAAUUCCCUCUUCCAAAACUCAUCUGGUGUAUCCUCAGAUCCUGAGGACAAUUACUGUGAAUUGUACACAGGACAGGACAGCAAACCUGAGUCCAGAGGUAAAAGGCCAGCUACAAAGCCAGCACUGGGGUUUUUGGUUCAUGUCUGGGGGUUCUGGGCAAUGAGGCUGUGACCUUUGCUGCCUCCCCUGUGGCUGGGAUCUGUCAGGUGGUUUCAGGAGUCCGAAGCAGCGAGCUCACACCUCUUGCAGGAGAUAACAGUGCUGAGUGAGCCCUGGAGGGAUCUCACACCUGUACAGGCUCCCUGCUUCACCUGUCCGUGUUUUACCUUUGCUGUCCAGGCCGAUGGGCUCAGGACUGAGCAUUUCCUCCUCACCCAAACAUCUGCCCAGAGGCCAUUCCCUCCUGCUCCCACACAGCCGCUCCCUGGCCAGUCUGCUUCCCCUUCCCUCUGCAGACAGACAGACAGACAGACAGACAGACAGCAAACACCCCCAGGAGCUGCCCCGGUGGUUCCCCACACAGCUCUGGGGGGCACUGAUGGAGUUUCACUGUAAGGAAACAACCCAAGCCCAGCUACAGACUCGAGGGUGGGUCUGUGUGUGAGGCAGAGAUGCCCUUGACCUUUAGGAGGCUCUUAGCACCAAGCCAUGAACAGCGACUGCUUUCAACCAGAGCUUUACAGUGACUGCCUCCCCACCUCUGCCCCUUCCCGAGCCAGGACACAGCUCAUAAAGCACCCAGAGACAUCUUGUGAGAUGCUGCAGCCUCCACACAACAGUGCACAGACACAUUUGGGGUCUUUUGUCCCGGCUCUUCAAAAUGUUUCAUGAGUUUUAGUCAUCACGUUGCUCUUCCUGUCCUACUGAGGCUCCCCAACCAUCAGCUUCCAACAGAAGUUUUUCAGACAGAAACUAAAUAUCUUUUCCUUCCUGUAAAAGAAGCCAGCAGUAUCUCCUUUUCACGUGGAAAGUCAAUAACCCUUGCAAAUGCACAGGGCAGCCUGGUGGUGCACUCUGAUUUCUCAUGAUUUCUGCUGAAAUGCUUUCAGUUGGCAUCUCCACCAGAGUGCUGAGCUCUCCAUCCAUGGGCUCCUCCUUGGGAAGAUUGCAAAGAUCCUCCUGUGCAGGAGCAGAAAAAUCAGUGGUCUGAGCAAACCCCUCGGCUCUCUGGAGAGGCUGGACACUGUGGAUGCUGUGCUGGAUUCAUUCCCAGCCUUGUGCAAGCUCUCAUGGUGUCUUUUAGAUGGUUCCUCAGAGUCUGCUGUGUGGUCUCUGGGUGCUCCCCUGGAUCUGAGGAUUCCACAGGGAGUUUGGGACAAUUCAGAGUUCAGCAACUGCAGCCUGAAAGUGUAAAAACACUUUGGGAACUGAUCUCUGACAUUGUCCAACCAAUUUAUCCCAGUGACAUUUGCUAGUGGCAAUGCAGUGCGUGUCACAGAGCAUCCAGGAGUUUGGAAUGGCAGGACUUGGCAUCACUGCUGUGCAAAGUUACUGCUGGGAGAGGCACUUUGCAUCCCAGAGGGAGCCAGGAGUGUGCUCACACCAAUAAAAUCCAC
Poecile atricapillus (Black-capped chickadee) is the source of this 4156-nucleotide long non-coding RNA. RefSeq lists it as uncharacterized. The transcript is spliced from 4 exons. Lineage: Eukaryota; Metazoa; Chordata; Aves; Passeriformes; Paridae. The record is from RefSeq and is a predicted model, not a curated record.